CAAUAGCGUAUAUUAACGUUGUUGCAGUUACAAAGCUCGUAGUUGGAUUUCUGGAGGGAGCGUCGGCCCGUAUUUACGAGUGCGUGACGUCUCUGUCCAUCCUUGCGGGAAGGCACGGCAUUGAUUUGUUGUGUCGGAUCGCAUCAUUUACUGUGAAAAAAUUAGAGUGUUCAAAGCAGGCUUUCGCUUGAAUACAUUAGCAUGGAUUAAUAAGAUAGGACUUUGGUGCUAUUUUGUUGGUUGAGCCUAAAGUAAUGAUUAAUAGGGAUAGUUGGGGGCACCUGUAUUGCGUUGUCAGAGGUGAAAUUCUUGGAUUUACGCAAGACAAACAGCUGCGAAAGCGUCUGCCAAGGAUGUUUUCAUUAA
Molecule: ribosomal RNA, 366 nt
Filed under: uncultured eukaryote
Lineage: Eukaryota
Description: partial 18S ribosomal RNA
Rfam family: Eukaryotic small subunit ribosomal RNA
Source: RNAcentral